AUUUAUUGCCAGGGUGUUGCCAAGAACCUGCCAAGUAUGUGUACUAGAUAUCGGGAUCCAACUUCAUGCUUCUUCCCUCAGAACCUGAUUGACAACGUAAAAACUCCUCUUUUUAUUCUUAAUGCCGCCUAUGAUUCAUGGCAGGUCCAGGCUAGCUUAGCUUCUCCUACAGGAGUUUGG
This is an RNA transcript of Coffea arabica (coffee), 180 nucleotides long. It is a transcript of the gene named pectin acetylesterase 6-like, with no coding region annotated. NCBI's taxonomy places the organism in Eukaryota, Viridiplantae, Streptophyta, Magnoliopsida, Gentianales, Rubiaceae. The record is from RefSeq and is a predicted model, not a curated record.